UUCAAGAUGCAACCCGCUUUUAGCCGUUUAAUAAUCCAGCUAACUAAGGAUUAACUAUUGGAUAAGAUGUAUGGAUACUCUUUUACCCCUUUUUACAAUUGUUUUGAUGGAUUUUGUUGUUUUCCCUCUUGCGCUUCUUUCUCUCUUCAAUCUUUGGAUCUGCUGAUUUUCAUUUGGUUUUUUUCCACUUAUCGUAUGUAUUCAGCUAUCCAUGAUAGCCAUAUUCAGGAUCUUUUUUUUCUGAAAAAAAAACAAACUAGAUUCAUGUAUAUUUUAAUCAAAGUGAUCGUCUGUGUUGAUUGUGAACCACAUCUUUAACCAUAUUUAACCAUUUACACCAAGUUCAACCUUGAAGCUGGAGUUAACUUAAGUGAAUUCAAAGCCAUAUCUUGUUCUUCUUCCGUUUCCCUUUCCUGUUGGUUAUUUAUUCACAUUACCCUGAAUUGAUCCUAACAAACCAGAGCCAGGAGAUAAUGAUGCUGAUUCCUAUUUUGGUUUUCACCAGAUAAAACAAACUUACCAAGCCCAAUAACAACAGUUGAUCAACAGUCUGUUUCCUAUGAAUUUACAGAUAAAAACAACAGUUCACUUUCCAUUGGUGUUUAUAUUAUAAUACUUGGUGGGCAAGAGUUGAUUGUUUUCAAAUGUCGUCAUCAACCUCAUCAUCCUUUUUUUUGCCAUGGUAUCAACAUUUUCAUCAAUAACACUUAUCUGUUUCAACAUGAUCAUUUUGCUGUUGCUAUCAUCAUCUCCAUUGAAAGUCAGGUCCAUAGACUUGGCAGCAAUCUAAAGAGAGGCUGAAAUUGAAUAGACAGAGAAACACACAGAGACAGAGGGAGAGAGUCAACAGCUUAACAAUCAUAUUGAUUGUUCUAGCAAUUAACAUCAAGUAAAUAAAGUGCAGUUAAAACGGAAACCAACCAAAUAAAGAGUCAAUUUGAUCACCAUCAGCAUAUAAUAACACACAUACAAACACACACACAUAUAUAUAAAUGUCCUUACGACCUUUUGAUGAGACAAGACUUGGCAGGAGAAAAAAAAAGUUGCAGCAAAUUAAUUAAAAUGUAACAUUUGUCAACUAUUAGAUUAGCUUGGAAUUAUUCAACAAAGUUGUCGCCAUUGACUUUUCCUGUGACACUCUUUUGGACCAUAAUUGUCGGAAUAGGAUCAAUUAAAUGCAGCCAUUUGAAUAAUGCUCAGCAAUUGAAAGUGCCUUCAAUUAUUUAUCAUGGAUUCGCAGUUUUUUCAUUCAAAGCCACCUUCGGUCAUGAAAGUGUUUUAAAAAAAGAAUUUAAAUUUUGCAGAUCGAUUCUUUUCCACUGGUUCAGUUUGCGGUCCAAUGAUCAUUUCAGAGGCAAAAAUGGACCAUUUCAUCGAUACUUCAACACCUUGAAUAAGUUCAACAUUUCAUCAAUUUGUUUACUUUAAAUAAAGUAAUCAUGAAAUGAUCAAAACUAGAAAAAAUGAGUUUUUCAGAUUCUCUAAACUCUUUUUGAAUUGGACAAAAAGAGGUUUAAAUGUAAAAAUGAAUCUUUAGGUAAUUAUUGAUUCCUAAGGAUUGAUUAAUAAUUGAAUUAAAACUCAUUUUUCUAGUGAUGAUUGAAGUGAACUGGAAACAUUACAAAGUAAACAAAAGUUAGAUGAAAAUGUGAAACGAAACUUUGCUUUUUCAAAGCUUACUUCCCUUUGAAUAAGCUUUGCUUUUUAAUUCACUGUGCUUACUGGACAGGGUCAGAUGAUAAUGUAGAUUGUGGGUGUGAAGGAAAAGUUAAAGAGUUGAUGAUGAAUGGGAGGAGACAAGGUGGAGUGAAGGAGGUAUUUACAGCUGAAUAAGGUCAAACCUUAUUGUGAAUACAGAAUAGGUGAAUGGAAAUGGUUUGCUUUGUUCAUCUUCACCUUGCUUUUUCAAGACAAAAAUUAUAUUUUCUACCUGUUGACAGGUUAUUAGAUUGCUCGUUGGACUAUGUAUUGAUAGAUAUUAUUAUUCCUCUUGUUUUACAUUUUACCUUUUUUUCCUCAUGAUGAUGAUGAUGAUCGUCUUCAAGGUAAAAUGGUUAUGAUAACAUGAUAGGAGUAAAAAAUUGUUCAACUCACCAUAUUGCACAGUGCCAUUGAACACUGUAAUUAGAGUGAAUGAUAAGUGACUCUCAAGUGAGAGUUGCUUGUUAUUUGUGUGUGUGUGUUGUGCCUUUACUAGUGACUAUUGGAUUGUAUCGGGUUGGCAAUUUUUCUGGUCACCAAUUUCAUGGUUCACAUGAUGAUGGUGAACACAUUCAGAAUAGUCAAGCCAUUGAUAAUAAUAAUAGUCAUAAUAAUAAUGAAAUCAAUGAAAGAAACCAGAAACAAGUAGCAACAGGUUAAACUUACAAAGAAGUAUUAAUGUGAUUCUCUCUCCUCUCUCUCUUUUUUUUUCAGUCCGUUUUGCACAUUACCAAGUUGUGCGUUGCUUUUGUUGUCUCCUUUUAUUUUUCAAACUCGUUUCAUUUCUUCUUUCAAAGAUCAAGUCAUUGAACAAGUUUAGCAUUUUGGGUACACAUUGGCUGUCUUCAAUCUGUCGAUAAUCAGUUGCCCAUAAAACAAUUUACUGUAAUUAUCGGCAAUCCAACAAUUCUGAUGCACACUUUUGACCAGAAAAGUUUUACUCAAAUGAUUUCAACCUUCUUCUUCAUGCAAACAGUUCCGAGGCGAUACAUUGCCCAAUUUAGGCUCAUUUGGAUGUCCUGUCAUGUGCAAACUUAAAAUUGUCGCUCAUUCAAAACUACUCAACUUUUGAGCCAAAAAUUUACUCAAAAAUUUACACAAAAUUUGCUCGAUAAAUAUUGAAAUUUUCAAACAAA
Tetranychus urticae (two-spotted spider mite) is the source of this 2837-nucleotide non-coding RNA. The record is from RefSeq and is a predicted model, not a curated record. NCBI's taxonomy places the organism in Eukaryota, Metazoa, Arthropoda, Arachnida, Trombidiformes, Tetranychidae.